UACGAAGGGGGGCUAGCGUUGCUCGGAAUCACUGGGCGAAAGCGCACGUAGGCGGAUUGCUAAGUCAGGGGUGAAAUCCUGGAGCUCAACUCCAGAACUGCCUUUGAUACUGGGCGACCUUGAGUCCGGGAGAGGUGAGUGGAACUGCGAGUGUAGAGGUGAAAUUCGUAGAUAUUCGCAAGAACACCAGUGGCGAAGGCGG
Molecule: ribosomal RNA, 202 nt
Filed under: uncultured bacterium
Lineage: Bacteria
Description: partial 16S ribosomal RNA
Rfam family: Bacterial small subunit ribosomal RNA
Source: RNAcentral